UAGGUUUAAGGAGAACCGAAUGGACGACGUCUGGCUGGUGGAUUUCUAUGCCCCGUGGUGUGGAUACUGUAAGAAGCUGGAGCCGGUCUGGCAGGAGGUCGGAGCAGAACUCACACACUCAGGGUCGCCGGUGCGAGUCGGGAAGAUGGACGCCACUGCAUACUCGGGAAUGGCCUCAGAGUUCGGCGUGCGAGGAUAUCCCACCAUUAAACUGUGAGUCUGUCCCCAACAUUAUUAACAUUUUAAAAUCUCUGUGUUCAAAGUUGAAGAGU
Long non-coding RNA from Rhinichthys klamathensis goyatoka, 272 nucleotides. RefSeq lists it as uncharacterized. Lineage: Eukaryota; Metazoa; Chordata; Actinopteri; Cypriniformes; Leuciscidae. The record is from RefSeq and is a predicted model, not a curated record. The transcript is spliced from 3 exons.